UUACAGGCGUGAGCCACCAUGACCAGCCUGAAAUAUAUUUUAAGUGAAUAUAGAAUUAUAGUUUGCCAGUUAUUUCAGCACUGUAAGGGUGUCUGUCAUUGUGCUCUCUGGCUUCCCUGGCUUAUGAUGAAAAGUUGGCCAUUACCUUUAUUAUUAUUCCUUGAAGGUAAUGAGUCGUUUAUCUAUAGUUGAUUUUAUAAUUUUUCUUUGGCAUCAGUUUUUCAUAAGUUUACUUUUGGAAAAUGCAUAGACUAUGAAAAGAUCAUCAUGAAUAAGUUCUAGCUCAACUUCUUGUUGUGUGGGGUCUGGCAUUAUUCUAAUUUCUCUUAUCUUCAGGGCAAAACCAAAAUUGAAUCUCAAACUGAAAGUUUGGGGUGUUUACAAGUGCCUCUACUAUUUGGUAAUCCCUGAGUUCCAGUUUUUGUCUUUCCAGCCAAAUGAGUCUUUUGCUCUCUUUACUUAACAUUUUAUCCUCUAAUUAACUGUGUUUUGCUUAUAUUCACAAUAACUUGCCCUGGGCAUAUGCAGUUCAAGAAUCAGUAAAUGCCUCAAAAGGAAAUUGCAGGAAGACUAUCAGGCUCACUUCUCUAUACAGUAUUUUUCUUUCCUCCAAGAUUUUGACUCCUCAAAUCAUGGUUGCUUUGGCAGCCUUGAGCUCCAAUUUUUGUCUACAAAGCCCACAGAGACUGCCACAGGCUCUAGAAUGUUGUUUUCUGUUUGACGUUUAUGUCCAGUGUAGUGAAUGAGCAAAUGCACCCAGAAGAAAUGUAAUCUCACCUCAAUGUGUUUCUUCUCUGCAGAAACUGUGCCCAUCAAGACCUGGCUG
This 826-nucleotide long non-coding RNA is filed under the name Homo sapiens (human). RNAcentral's name for it is "long non-coding RNA NONHSAT198831". Lineage: Eukaryota; Metazoa; Chordata; Mammalia; Primates; Hominidae. The record is from RNAcentral.